UUGCUCUUCAACGAGGAAUACCUAGUAAGCGUGAGUCAUCAGCUCGCGUUGAUUACGUCCCUGCCCUUUGUACACACCGCCCGUCGCUACUACCGAUUGAAUGGCUUAGUGAGGUCUCCGGAUUGGCUUUGGGGAGCCGGCAACGGCACCCUAUUGCUGAGAAGCUGAUCAAACUUGGUCAUUUAGAGGAAGUAAAAGUCGUAACAAGGUUUCCGUAGGUGAACCUGCGGAAGGAUCAUUAUUGAAUAAACCUGAUGUGGUUGUUGCUGGCUCUCUCGGGAGUAUGUGCACGCCCGUCAUCUUUAUAUUUCCACCUGUGCACCUUUUGUAGACCCGCGCGACUUGAGCAAUCAAGUCAAGUAGGCCUACGUUUUAUCAUAUACCCCAUAGUAUGUAUCAGAAUGUAUCAGUGGGCUUUGUGCCUAUAAACACUAUACAACUUUCAGCAACGGAUCUCUUGGCUCUCGCAUCGAUGAAGAACGCAGCGAAAUGCGAUAAGUAAUGUGAAUUGCAGAAUUCAGUGAAUCAUCGAAUCUUUGAACGCACCUUGCGCUCCUUGGUAUUCCGAGGAGCAUGCCUGUUUGAGUGUCAUUAAAUUCUCAACCUCUCUAGUUUUCUGAACUAGUAGAUGGCUUGGAUGUGGGGGNUUUGUGCAGGCUUUCACAAGUCAGCUCCCCUGAAAUGCAUUAGCCGGUACUAUCUGACCGUCUAUUGGUGUGAUAAUUAUCUACGCCGUGGACUGAAGAGUUUGUGCUGCUUACAACCGUCCUGCAUAGGACAAUCAAUGACAUUUUGACCUCAAAUCAGGUAGGACUACCCGCUGAACUUAAGCAUAUCAAUAAGCGGAGGA
This 850-nucleotide ribosomal RNA is filed under the name uncultured fungus. RNAcentral's name for it is "eukaryotic LSU rRNA". The stretch from base 1 to 241 matches the Rfam family "Eukaryotic small subunit ribosomal RNA", at positions 1593 to 1831 of the family's 1831-position model. Lineage: Eukaryota; Fungi. The record is from RNAcentral.